AUAAUCUGAAAAUGUCUCUGAGGAGUACGGAUAGCAGUGCCGAUACCUCUGAAGUUGCCAAGGCAUAUGGUGGAGGGGGUUCCCCAAGUUCCAGCUCCUUUAUUAUUCGGAUGGAUGAAUAUAACCAGUGGCUUUCAGUGCAAUCAUCGAUACCAUGCUAAGGUACCAAUCAUGUUCUUCUUGUUUCUCUUUAAUUAACAAGGUCAUACUACCCCUCCUCUUACAGAGAGAGAAAAAAGACAAAAGGUAGGAAAAAGAAACAGAGGUAGCACAGGACUAUGGUGGGUACCUUGACAGUUACAAGAACGGACAAUCAGGAAGCAGAGAUAAAAUCGAAAGUAGAGAAGAAAUCAUCGAGCAUCAUAGAAUUCUCACGUAAUAUUUGAAGCGAAUGGUUACUGAAGUAAACAAAAUGCCGCAGAAAGGAUCGUCGUUUCGCAACCGUUGGCUAUAUGCUGGAAUGUAUUAAGAAGAAUGGUCGAACCACUUGACAAUGCUGAUUGCUACAAGAAAGGCCACAGGGACUAUAACUCAGGGAAGAUCAGAAUAUUAUAUUUUGAUUGCUUAUGCUUGUAUAAUUUUCUUGACAAUGUUUUCUUGAUAUUAGCAUUCACCAAGUACUGUACUGUAUUUGCUAUUCUUCUUCUGUACUCUUCUGGGAUGAAGAAUGAUCAAUCAAGUUUUCGUUAAUAUUAGUAAUUCAUUUUUUCUCAA
Molecule: long non-coding RNA, 714 nt
Organism: Olea europaea var. sylvestris
Lineage: Eukaryota; Viridiplantae; Streptophyta; Magnoliopsida; Lamiales; Oleaceae
Exons: 2
Source: RefSeq, a predicted model, not a curated record